AUUAUUCAUAAAAUGUAUUUUGUGUCUUAUAUAACCAGGUGACUAUUUAGAGGCCAGAAGAAAAAUGAAAGAAUUUAGCAGUGUUACAGCAGGUCCACAGUCCUAAGAUGAGGGUUCUCAAAGAGAUUAAAAAAGAAAUGACAUGAGUGACAGUGAGCCUGAGGAGAGGUCUGAUGAUGAGCAUAUCACACCAUGGGGGAAGAUUCCCUUAAAUCUCCCAGCUUUACCCCAUUCUUUCCCUCUCACUAAGUGUCAUAGUCCUGACCCAUCUGCCAUGCUCCAAGACCUUGGUGAAGGCAGGUCCUACACAAGUCUUAGCUUCCCUACAAGUUCCAGGCCUUCUCGAUUUUCUGCCCUGAACCAUAACCCUUCAGACACCAGCCCUCUGAUACUCCCUAAUGGAAGAAAUGGCCUACAGUUUAGCAGCCCAACUUACGCACCAGGAUACCAGGACACACAAGGGUUUACUGCUGCCAGUCUUCAGGACUGAAUAAACAGAACCUUCACCAAACCCAACUCUUCUUUGGCACUACGCUUUGCUGAGUGCCUGGGCACUGCAAUUAGCUGUGUUGUAUUGGCAAUACAGCUCCAGAAAAGAUUAAGAGACCACUGCACCUUUUUCUCUCCUUUCCAAAAUAGUUGAAAAGGAAGGUUUUGAGUGAGGAACAGAAGCGUUCAAUUUGCAGUGGUCUCCUAAUUUUAACCCUUCUCUUCCUCACUCAAAACCUUCCUUUUCCACUAUUUGGAAAGGAGAGAAAAAGGUGCAGUGGUCUCUUAAUCUGUUUCCGGAGCUGUAUAUCACAAACCUUAGCCUUAUUGCUUUUAUAAACUGUUUAAAAGUACAAUUAGACUAGUAAAAAGUGUCAUACACCACAGCUGUCAGUCAAUCAACAUUCAGGAUUCUAGCCACCCGGUUUAUAAUUGUUAUUUUAAAACAGUGAGGAAUCUGGUUAAGGUAAAAGUUAGGGUAAGGUUUCAGGUUAAGAUUCAGGGUAGGGACAAGCACUAACCUUGGUCAAAUGUCAACUUUGCAGUUUUGCCUAGUUCUGCCUUCUGAAUUUAGUCUCUGCCUUCUAGGCAGAUUUGGUUAAAUUUAAAUCACUGUAACUCCUCCAAUGAGCAUUUAUUGUCUGGUCUUUUAUUACCAUAUUACGUUACAGCUGCACUUAGGUUAUGAGAGAUUGUUUUUGUAAAACAUAUUUUUGGAUACAACCAAAUAAAAACAUUUGUACCAUU
This is a long non-coding RNA of Esox lucius (northern pike), 1236 nucleotides long. The record is from Ensembl. Lineage: Eukaryota; Metazoa; Chordata; Actinopteri; Esociformes; Esocidae.